UACAGAGGGUGCGAGCGUUGUCCGGAAUCACUGGGCGUAAAGGGCGCGUAGGUGGCGCCGCAAGUCCAUGGUGAAAGCUCGAUGCUCAACAUCGAGUCGGCCACGGAGACUGCGGGGCUCGAGCACUGUAGGGGCAGAUGGAAUUCCGGGUGUAGCGGUGGAAUGCGUAGAGAUCCGGAAGAACACCGGUGGCGAAAGCGGGGCACUGGGCCAAUUCUGACGCUGAGGCGCGAAAGCGUGGGGAGCAAACAGG
RNAcentral lists this ribosomal RNA (253 nucleotides) under uncultured bacterium. RNAcentral's name for it is "partial 16S ribosomal RNA". It matches the Rfam family "Bacterial small subunit ribosomal RNA", at positions 524 to 776 of the family's 1533-position model. The record is from RNAcentral.